GAUGAACGCUAGCUACAGGCUUAACACAUGCAAGUCGAGGGGCAGCAUGGUCUUAGCUUGCUAAGGCCGAUGGCGACCGGCGCACGGGUGAGUAACACGUAUCCAACCUGCCGUCUACUCUUGGACAGCCUUCUGAAAGGAAGAUUAAUACAAGAUGGCAUCAUGAGUUCACAUGUUCACAUGAUUAAAGGUAUCCCGGUAGACGAUGGGGAUGCGUUCCAUUAGAUAGUAGGCGGGGUAACGGCCCACCUAGUCUACGAUGGAUAGGGGUUCUGAGAGGAAGGUCCCCCACAUUGGAACUGAGACACGGUCCAAACUCCUACGGGAGGCAGCAGUGAGGAAUAUUGGUCAAUGGGCGAGAGCCUGAACCAGCCAAGUAGCGUGAAGGAUGAAAGGUCCUACGGAUUGUAAAACUUCUUUUAUACGGGAAUAAAAGUAUCCUACGUGUAGGAUUUGUAUGUACCGUAUGAAUAAGCAUCGGCUAACU
RNAcentral lists this ribosomal RNA (487 nucleotides) under uncultured bacterium. Its description in RNAcentral is "bacterial SSU rRNA". It matches the Rfam family "Bacterial small subunit ribosomal RNA", at positions 28 to 502 of the family's 1533-position model. The record is from RNAcentral.